GACGAACCGUCCUAACGUUGUUCGGAAUCACUGGGCUUAAAGCGUGUGUAGGCGGACCGUUAAGUACCUUGUGAAAUCCCACGGCUCAACCGUGGAACGGCUGGGUAGACUGGCGGUCUUGAGCGGCCUAGGGGCAGAUGGAACAGACGGUGGAGCGGUGAAAUGCGUAGAUAUCGUCUGGAACGCCAAAGGUGAAGACAGUCUGCUGGGGGCCUGCUGACGCUGAGACACGAAAGCCAGGGGAGCGAACGGG
RNAcentral lists this ribosomal RNA (253 nucleotides) under uncultured bacterium. RNAcentral describes it as "partial 16S ribosomal RNA". It matches the Rfam family "Bacterial small subunit ribosomal RNA", at positions 524 to 776 of the family's 1533-position model. The record is from RNAcentral.